Molecule: ribosomal RNA, 2150 nt
Filed under: Chrysomya chloropyga
Lineage: Eukaryota; Metazoa; Arthropoda; Insecta; Diptera; Calliphoridae
Description: eukaryotic LSU rRNA
Rfam family: Eukaryotic large subunit ribosomal RNA
Source: RNAcentral
AGCAUAUUAAUGAGGGGAGGAAAAGAAACUAACAAGGAUUUUCUUAGUAGCGGCGAGCGAAAAGAAAACAGUUCAGCACUAAGUCACUUUGUCUUUAUGGCAAAUGUGAGAUGCAGUGUAUGGAAUGUCAAAUUUCUAGUAUGAGAAAUUAACGAUUUAAGUCCUUCUUAAAUGAGGCCAUUUACCCAAAGAGGGUGCCAGGCCCGUAUAACGUUAAUGAUUACUAGAUGGCAUUUCCAAAGAGUCGUGUUGCUUGAUAGUGCAGCACUAAGUGGGUGGUAAACUCCAUCUAAAACUAAAUAUAACCAUGAGACCGAUAGUAAACAAGUACCGUGAGGGAAAGUUGAAAAGAACUCUGAAUAGAGAGUUAAAUAGUACGUGAAACUGCUUAGAGGUUAAGCCCGAUGAACCUGAAUAUCCGUUAUGGAAAAUUCAUCAUUAUGAUUUUAAUAUUUAUAAUAUUAUAAUAAUGGUGUGCAUUUUUUCUAUAAAGGACAUUGUAAUCUAUUAAUAUAAAUAUAUUUAUCAUAAGAUCAAGUGCGUAAGUUUAUUCAAAUUAUUUUGCUUGCAAUUUAACAUAGAAUAAAUGCUCUUGAUUUGAUAAAGUGUUGAUAGAUUUAUUAUAUAUAGUGCUUAAAUAUUUAUAUUUUAUAAUAGCAUAUUAAUCAUUGAUUUUUAUGUUUAUUAUAUGCACUUAUAUGAUUAACAAUGCGAAAGAUUCAGGAUACCUUCGGGACCCGUCUUGAAACACGGACCAAGGAGUCUAACAUAUUUGCAAGUUAUUGGGAAUAAAAACCUAAUAGCGCAAUUAACAUAACUUAUUAAUGGGAUUAGUUUUUAGCCUAUUUAUAGUCUAUUAAUUCAAUCCCGGGGCGUUCUAUCAGUUAUGUAUAAUAAUAUUUAUAUUAUUUAUACCUCUAACUAGAGCGUACCUUGAGCAUAUAUGCUGUGACCCGAAAGAUGGUGAACUAUACUUGAUCAGGUUGAAGUCAGGGGAAACCCUGAUGGAAGACCGAAACAGUUCUGACGUGCAAAUCGAUUGUCAGAAUUGAGUAUAGGGGCGAAAGACCAAUCGAACCAUCUAGUAGCUGGUUCCCUCCGAAGUUUCCCUCAGGAUAGCUGGUGCAUUUAAAAAUUAUGUAAAAUAAUCUUAUCUGGUAAAGCGAAUGAUUAGAGGCCUUAGGGUCGAAACGACCUUAACCUAUUCUCAAACUUUAAAUGGGUAAGAACCUCACCUUUCUUGGUAUGAAGGUCGUGGUUGUGAUAUAAUGUGCCCAGUGGGCCACUUUUGGUAAGCAGAACUGGCGCUGUGGGAUGAACCAAACGUAAUGUUACGGUGCCCAAAUUAACAACUCAUGCAGAUACCAUGAAAGGCGUUGGUUGCUUAAAACAGCAGGACGGUGGACAUGGAAGUCGUAAUCCGCUAAGGAGUGUGUAACAACUCACCUGCCGAAGCAACUAGCCCUUAAAAUGGAUGGCGCUUAAGUUGUAUACCUAUACAUUACCGCUAAAGUAGAUGGUUUAUGUUCAAUUUCGGUUGGAUUAUAAACUUUGAAACUUUAGUGAGUAGGAGGGUACAAUGGUGAGCAUAGAAGUGUUUGGCGUAAGCCUGCAUGGAGCUGCCAUUGGUACAGAUCUUGGUGGUAGUAGCAAAUAAUCGAAUGAGACCUUGGAGGACUGAAGUGGAGAAGGGUUUCGUGUGAACAGUGGUUGAUCACGAGUUAGUCGGUCCUAAGUUCAAGGCGAAAGCCGAAAAUUUUCAAGUUAUAAUGAAAAGUAAAAAUAUUUGCUUAGUAAUUAAACACUUGAAUAAUUUUGAACGAAAGGGAAUACGGUUCCAAUUCCGUAACCUGUUGAGUAUCCGUUUGUUAUUAAAUAUGGGCCUUGUGCUCAUCCUGGCAACAGGAACGACCAUAAAGAAGCCGUCGAGAGAUAUCGGAAGAGUUUUCUUUUCUGUUUUAUAGUCGUACUACCAUGGAAGUCUUUCGAAGAGAGAUAUGGUAGAUGGACUAGAAGAGCAUGACAUUUACUGUUGUGUCGAUAUUUUCUCCUCGGACCUUGAAAAUUUAUGGUGGGGUCACGCAAACUUCUCAACAGGCCGUACCAAUAUCCGCAGCUGGUCUCCAAGGUGAAGAGUCUCUAGUCGAUAG